This 253-nucleotide ribosomal RNA is filed under the name uncultured bacterium. RNAcentral's name for it is "partial 16S ribosomal RNA". It matches the Rfam family "Bacterial small subunit ribosomal RNA", at positions 524 to 776 of the family's 1533-position model. The record is from RNAcentral.
UACGUAGGGGGCGAGCGUUGUCCGGAGUUACUGGGCGUAAAGCGCACGCAGGCGGUCUGCUAAGUUUGGAGUGACAGUUGGUGGCUUAACUGCCAAAGUGCUUCGAAAACUGACAGACUUGAGGGCUUCAGAGGGACACGGAAUUCCGGGUGGAGUGGUGAAAUGCGUAGAUAUCGGGAGGAACACCUGUGGCGAAAGCGGCUCACUGGACCAUAACUGACGCUGAUGCACGAAAGCUGGGGGAGCAAACAGG